AGUGCUAUGGUUUAAGUGACAGUGGUCAUCUGGUAUGUUUGCAGUGUUGGCAGGUUGAGACUGUAUGGAACCUUGUAAACCAUAGGCAUUUUAGAUUUUCUCUAAUGGGUUUCUAUUUUUUCCCAUUGUACUGUUUCCUGUAAUAAAAGCUAUCAUCUAGUUUAUAUCUUAAAAAUAGCACUUUCCUUCAAGGCCAGCCUGGUCUAUAGAGUGAGUUCCAGGACAGCCAGGGCUACACAGAGAAACCCUGUCUCGAAAAACCCUAGCACUCUAGAAGCACAAGCAUGAGUUCUGGCAAGCUUGAGCCACAUAGCAAUUUCUAGGUCAAGAAUUUGGUAUGUGGCUCUUUCUCAAAUAAACAAGAAAUCACUUUGCUGUAGAAGCAAGAGGAAAAAAAAAUCAGCAAGAGACCAUAUAUGGUGCUGAAGAGAAGAUUAAGCUGUUAAGAGCACUUAAUGUUUUUCUAUAGGGCAAGUGUUCAGUUCCCAGCAUCCACAUGGUAACUCACAACUGUCAUUUCAGUUCUUGUAACUCCAGUUUUUUUUUUAAAGAUUUAUUUUAUGUAUAUGAGUACACUGUAGCUGUCUUCAGACACACCAGAAGAGGGCAUUAGAUUUCAUUACAUAUGGUUGUGAGCCACCAUGUGGUUGCUGGGAAUUGAACUCAGUACCUCUGGAAGAGCAGUCGGUGCUAUUAACCGCUGAGCCAUCUCUCCAGCCCAUAACUCCAGUUUUAAGGGAUCCUUUGCUCCUACUGUACUCCUUAGGCACUGAAUGAACAUGACACACACA
Molecule: long non-coding RNA, 791 nt
Filed under: Mus musculus (house mouse)
Lineage: Eukaryota; Metazoa; Chordata; Mammalia; Rodentia; Muridae
Description: long non-coding RNA chr2:119879539-119880330
Source: RNAcentral